UGGCUUAUUCCGAUAAGGAUUGACUAGCGCACGCGUCGCACUUAGUCACGGCAGCGAGGAGUACACCUAGCCGCGCUCGGGCGGGGUAUACCGGGGUGGGCUUAUAUCGCUAAAGUCAAAAGAGCCGACGUACGGCUUGCUUAUGUCAGGGUAGCAUAGACCGCUGGAUGAUGGAUGCGUGCGUGGAUCGCGCAUGAGCGGAUACCCCGCUACACGAGUAUGGGACACUGGGUCGACGGUGUAGGUGGGCUUGCUCUGUGUUAAGCUUUACACUUAGGGGAGGACGUCUGCGUCGGAGCAACGGCCCUUAGUCUAGCUGGGAGGUACGUGUAUCGCGAGCCUAGAUGUCUAAAGAAGAACUAAACUGGUUACCUAGAACCACGUCUCAAUAAGUGUACCUAGAGGUCAAGUCGAAGACUAGGGUCGGCAAGUGAGGGCUCCCGAAGGGUCUAGACCCUAACGAUCUCUUCCUCCUCCUACUAUACGAUCUCCUCCUCCUGCUGCUGUUCACGUAAGGAGGUUUAGAGGUCUCCAUAAGUGGAAGGAGUUCGGUUCUACAACUCUUUGUACCACAAUGGCUAAGACCUAGAGUUCAAGGACUCCGGUGCGUUCUAAAAAGGAUGUAGGGUCUAUAACUGUUGUAGCUGUCGGUGUUUCUCGGGAGUAGAUUAGCGUUGCGUGAGGUCUAGGCACCGGAUUUUCCAUCAUGAUAGAUGAAGCGUGAAGACCAACAGGAGCAGUUAAGUAAGGUAAGAAAGAUGGGAGCAACUCAACGCGGUGUAAGUCACUUGAUCCGCAAAAAAAGUCAAUUCAACAACCGAACUGGUACUAGA
This 833-nucleotide ribosomal RNA is filed under the name Triticum aestivum (bread wheat). Its description in RNAcentral is "partial small subunit ribosomal RNA". The record is from RNAcentral. Lineage: Eukaryota; Viridiplantae; Streptophyta; Magnoliopsida; Poales; Poaceae.